GGUGAGAUGGCCGAGCGGUCUAAGGCGCUAGGUUAAGGUUUCAACCUCGACAUAUACCGAUAGGUUUCCUAGUGGAGCAAUCCUCGUGGGUUCGAAUCCCACUCUCAUCA
RNAcentral lists this transfer RNA (110 nucleotides) under Venturia inaequalis. It matches the Rfam family "tRNA". Rfam says of the family: Transfer RNA (tRNA) molecules are approximately 80 nucleotides in length. Their secondary structure includes four short double-helical elements and three loops (D, anti-codon, and T loops). Further hydrogen bonds mediate the characteristic L-shaped molecular structure. tRNAs have two regions of fundamental functional importance: the anti-codon, which is responsible for specific mRNA codon recognition, and the 3' end, to which the tRNAs corresponding amino acid is attached (by aminoacyl-tRNA synthetases). tRNAs cope with the degeneracy of the genetic code in two manners: having more than one tRNA (with a specific anti-codon) for a particular amino acid; and 'wobble' base-pairing, i.e. permitting non-standard base-pairing at the 3rd anti-codon position. The record is from Rfam by way of RNAcentral. Lineage: Eukaryota; Fungi; Ascomycota; Dothideomycetes; Venturiales; Venturiaceae.